This 329-nucleotide ribosomal RNA is filed under the name uncultured eukaryote. RNAcentral describes it as "partial 18S ribosomal RNA". It matches the Rfam family "Eukaryotic small subunit ribosomal RNA", at positions 1470 to 1796 of the family's 1831-position model. The record is from RNAcentral.
CCCUUAGAUGUUCUGGGCUGCACGCGCGCUACACUGAUACUUUCAGCGAGUCCACCACCUUGCCUGGGAGGGUGGGGUAACCUCUGGAAAGUGCAUCGUGAUGGGGAUCGAUUAUUGUAAUUAUUAAUCUUCAACGAGGAAUUCCUAGUAAGCAUGUGUCAUCAGCCCGUGCUGAUUACGUCCCUGCCCUUUGUACACACCGCCCGUCGCUCCUACCGAUUGAGUGGUCCGGUGAAAUCUUCGGAUUGAGACUUUGAUUUCUUCACGGAAAACGUUGUUUUAUAAAGUUGAUUAAACCUUACCAUUUAGAGGAAGGUGAAGUCGUAACA